GAAGUGGUACCUUCUUUAGAAAGAGAAGAACGUUUAACAAGGAAGAAAAGGGCCAACCUGCAGCGAGAUUUGGAGAAGGGAAACAGCAUUUGCAGGACAUCCACUCAACUCUAGGCUUCGUGCCAGGCGGCUUAAGUAUAUGAUCACAGCCUCGGCUUGGGAGGGGCCUGAGGGCCUAAUGAACAGCCUGGUACAGCCUGGUACAGCCUAGGACAUCCUGGGAAGUUCUGGAAAUACUGACUCCAAGCAGGUCAAGGGUGGAGUAGUUUUCUACCAGGACAGAGUUAACAACCCAUAAAGGUCUCUGCUUAAGUAAGAAGUCCAUUUCUGUGAACCAUAACCCAGAUAUAGCAACGCCAGACUGUCUCCUAUCAAAAUUUAUUGAAAUGGUAGAUUUUUGGACCAUGCCUGGCUAAUUUUUCUUGUAUUUUUAGUAGAAGUGGGGUUUCACCAUUUUGUCCAGGCUGGUCUCAAACUCCUUACUUCAGGUGAUCUGCCCGCCUUGGCUCCCCCAAAGUGCUGGGAUUACAGGCAUGAACCAUUGCACCUGGCCUUGAUUCCCUUUUUAAUGCACAAAUAUGAAGAGCAAUAUUCACCAAACUCUAAUAAAAUGUAAGUGCUCUUGCAAUCCUAUCUGUACUAUCCUUCCAAAUUAUUUUUAAUCCCAGCUCUUUCUAUCUUUGUUUAGACACAGGUGUAAUUUCUGCUUAGUUGUUUCAUGAUGUAGCUCAGUGUCUGUGUCUCUUUCUUACUUUGCAGUGUGGAGUAGUUUUCUACCAGGACAAAGUUAACAACCCAUAAAGGUCUCUGCUUAAGUAAGAAGUCCAUUUCUGUGAACCAUAACCCAGAUAUAGCAACGCCAGACUGUCUCCUAUCAAAAUUUAUUGAAAUGGUAGAUUUUUGGUAAGUACAGAAACACAAGCGAAGGAACCAGGAGGAACGUGCACCCCUCUACCCGUGGGGCAGAGGCACGUUUCCCUUUUAAUGGUAAAAGCAAACAGGUGGGAAACAGCUUUCUAUCCUGAAGCCGUUUUAACUGUUCAACCCUUAGAUUACUAUAAACAAGAGAGGAAUGGAUUGCAUUAGUCGCUGGUUGAAAGCAGCAAUGCCAUUUCCUUUCCCAUAAUAACACUGUUUAGCUCAGUCCCUUCUGGGGCUAAUCCCCUAUUACACCCACCGGAAACACAGAUACUAACCAAAGCAUGUGAGUCUCUUCCCUGAGUCCAUUUCUGCUAAAGAUUGUCUGAAAGAUGAAUUGGUCCACGGAAGCCAGGUGACCUACUGGCUUGUUUAAUGAUGCCUGGGCUUCCUCCAGGAACAACACAAUUCCCUCCAAUCUCAGCUCUCCUUAUCCCUGCUAGAGCUCACAAGCAGGCUAGAUAUCACCCCAGGAGCUGAGCCCCCUCCAGUCUGAGGCAGAUGUGGGAAGAAGGCCAACAAGUCACAAGUAGAUCUCUGGCUCCAACUCUGCUCAGCAGAAACGCCUACAAUUUGCCCAUCUUCAGUCCUGCGAGCGUCAGAGAUGAAGCAAGUUUCAGAUGCCUAGAAGCUUUACUCUCUGUUCCUCCAGGAUUCCUGCGGUCACACCUUGCAACCAGUCUCCCACUCAUCUGCCACAGUUUCCCUAAAUCAGAUUCUCUGAAUCUGGAAGUUCCAGGAAAUCUUAGGCCGAGUCCAGUGACAUUACUCGAUGCAACAGCCCAACUGUUUCUCCAGAGAUGCUGGUUCUUGGUGACAAUGUCCCUUCUUGGAAUGGUUAUUUGAGGUUGGGCCCAGAUAAGAGGGGCUCCAUGGCUCACCGGAGUUGGCGAUUAACGCCUCUGGAGCGCCUCUGGUUUUGUUGGGGUCCCCUGUGAGCUCGACGCUCGUGCUGCGGUUAUUAUCUGGCUCACCUGUUAUCUUCCUCUGGAGGCAGCGGUUGAUCAAAGUGGAGAAGAAGUUGGGAAAGGAUGGGCUGGAGAAGUAGUACACCACGGGGUCCAGCAUGCUGUUCAUGUAGGUGAAGCUGAGAGUGAUAAAGAACGCCAGGUCCACCGAGCGGUACACUUCACAAUUCUGCGUGCCCGAAGUGUGCAGGAGCCAGAAGAUGU
RNAcentral lists this long non-coding RNA (2090 nucleotides) under Homo sapiens (human). RNAcentral's name for it is "long non-coding RNA NONHSAT162912.1". The record is from RNAcentral. Lineage: Eukaryota; Metazoa; Chordata; Mammalia; Primates; Hominidae.